Molecule: ribosomal RNA, 496 nt
Filed under: uncultured bacterium
Lineage: Bacteria
Description: partial 16S ribosomal RNA
Rfam family: Bacterial small subunit ribosomal RNA
Source: RNAcentral
AUUCACGCUGGCGGCGUGCCUCAUCCCUGCCAGUCGCGCGAACAGACGAGGAGCUUGCUCCUCUGACGUUAGCGGCGGACGGGGGAGUAACACGUGGAUAACCUACCUAUAAGACUGGGAUAACUUCGGGAAACCGGAGCUAAUACCGGAUAAUAUAUUGAACCGCAUGGUUCAAUAGUGAAAGACGGUUUUGCUGUCACUUAUAGAUGGAUCCGCGCCGCAUUAGCUAGUUGGUAAGGUAACGGCUUACCAAGGCAACGAUGCGUAGCCGACCUGAGAGGGUGAUCGGCCACACUGGAACUGAGACACGGUCCAGACUCCUACGGGAGGCAGCAGUAGGGAAUCUUCCGCAAUGGGCGAAAGCCUGACGGAGCAACGCCGCGUGAGUGAUGAAGGUCUUCGGAUCGUAAAACUCUGUUAUUAGGGAAGAACAAAUGUGUAAGUAACUAUGCACGUCUUGACGGUACCUAAUCAGAAAGCCACGGCUAACUACGUG